RNAcentral lists this ribosomal RNA (449 nucleotides) under uncultured bacterium. Its description in RNAcentral is "partial 16S ribosomal RNA". It matches the Rfam family "Bacterial small subunit ribosomal RNA", at positions 29 to 523 of the family's 1533-position model. The record is from RNAcentral.
AAUGAACGCUGGCGGCAUGCCUAACACAUGCAAGUCGAACGAAGGCUUCGGCCUUAGUGGCGCACGGGUGCGUAACGCGUGGGAAUCUGCCCUUGGGUUCGGAAUAACAGUUAGAAAUGACUGCUAAUACCGGAGGAUGUCGUAAGACCAAAGAUUUAUCGUCAAAGGAUGAGCCCGCGUAGGAUUAGCUAGUCGGUGGGGUAAAGGCCCACCAAGGCGACGAUCCUUAGCUGGUCUGAGAGGAUGAUCAGCCACACUGGGACUGAGACACGGCCCAGACUCCUACGGGAGGCAGCAGUAGGGAAUAUUGGACAAUGGGCGAAAGCCUGAUCCAGCAAUGCCGCGUGAGUGAUGAAGGCCUUAGGGUUGUAAAGCUCUUUUACCCGGGAUGAUAAUGACAGUACCGGGAGAAUAAGCUCCGGCUAACUUCGUGCCAGCCGCCGCGGUAG